UACAGAGACUGCAAGCGUUAUUCGGAUUCACUGGGCGUAAAGGGUGCGCAGGCGGUCGGGUGUGUCAGAUGUGAAAUCCCGAGGCUCAACCUCGGAACUGCGUCUGAAACUACUCGACUAGAGUACUGGAGAGGGAAACGGAAUUCACGGUGUAGCAGUGAAAUGCGUAGAUAUCGUGAGGAACACCAGAGGCGAAGGCGGUUUCCUGGACAGUUACUGACGCUCAGGCACGAAAGCAUGGGGAGCAAACGGG
Molecule: ribosomal RNA, 253 nt
Filed under: uncultured bacterium
Lineage: Bacteria
Description: partial 16S ribosomal RNA
Rfam family: Bacterial small subunit ribosomal RNA
Source: RNAcentral